RNAcentral lists this long non-coding RNA (874 nucleotides) under Drosophila melanogaster (fruit fly). RNAcentral's name for it is "long non-coding RNA:CR43278 (Dmel_CR43278)". Lineage: Eukaryota; Metazoa; Arthropoda; Insecta; Diptera; Drosophilidae. The record is from RNAcentral.
GUUGGCUAUAGGUCAGUUGUAGAAUUGUAGCUCUGAGAGAACAUCAUAAAAUAUAUAUUUGUUUUGUGAAUAGUAAAAAAGAUUUAUAAUUUUCUAAACUGAAAAACGAAACGAAACAAACAAAAUGGAUUACUUAUAUUUCGCAAAUCCCCCGGAAGGCGAAUUCGAGGGCUUUCACGGCUUUAUAGAAAUGACUGUUAUGAAGCUAUGCAUGGAACUCGACAAUAUGAUGAAUUCGCAGGAGACACAUUAUGAUCCGAUGCCAGUGUUUGGAUUGAUCUCAUAUGCCCUGGCUCUUUUUGGUAUCUUUACAUUUUUCACAAUGAGUGUGCAAAAGUACAAAACUUUAUUUUGUAAAAUUGCUGGUAACAAAGAACGAAAACCUGUAUGGGUAGAUGAAGAGGAGGAGGUCGAGCCACCACAAUUGAAGGAGGAUGUCAAGCAACCAGAAGUGGAUGAGGAUACCCCGCCGAAUCCUUUGUCGGAGGAUAAGAAUUUUUCAUUUGACAUAGAAUUUCCUGGUACACCAGGACAUCCAGAAAAUAUGCUAUUUCGAAAGCAAGGCAAUGGGGAACGAUUAGAAAGUUUUGUGAAUGCUACUGAUGCUGAACAUAGCCUAGUAGUUACCUAUCGCAAUGAAAUGGAUCCAGAUCCAAGUCAAAUACUUUUAUAAAUAACUGCAGAUCAUGAGUCGAUCAAAGUAUAUCAACCGACUCAACACUAUGAAAAUCCGUCGUCAUGAAAAAAUGUAGGACCAAUUUUUGAGAUGUAUCGUUAGAUUUGGGAUAUCCAUUAUUAGCGAGAAGUCUUUCCCAAAUUGUUAGUGUCAUUAUUUUUUGAUCUCGAAUUGUAUAAAUAUAUCAAUGUAACAAUG